AGACUCCUGACACUUAGCAACAAUCCUGUCCUUACAGAAAGGUGAUCAUGUACCUGAUAGUACUUUUUGAGGAAGAAAACAAAACUGGCCCGGUGGCAAAGGAGUGGUUUUCAGAUGGCCUCGCUUGGUGGCCUCCAUACAGUGACCAGUGCCAGAUUCUCAGAAGUGUCCAAAAAAGGUGGUCCCCAAUCCAUCAAAGGGCUGGAGAAAAUUUGCCGCACGUGUGCUCUACGAAUCAGAUUCAAUUAACAAAAUACAAGAAAAGUGGGAAGGGUCAUGUGUAACAUCAGACCUAAACACAGUAAAAGAACAUGACGUUACAACUGUACGACAAUGAAGGAA
Carassius gibelio (silver crucian carp) is the source of this 342-nucleotide long non-coding RNA. RefSeq lists it as uncharacterized. The record is from RefSeq and is a predicted model, not a curated record. The transcript is spliced from 3 exons. NCBI's taxonomy places the organism in Eukaryota, Metazoa, Chordata, Actinopteri, Cypriniformes, Cyprinidae.